Flavobacterium frigoris is the source of this 80-nucleotide non-coding RNA. The record is from Rfam. NCBI's taxonomy places the organism in Bacteria, Pseudomonadati, Bacteroidota, Flavobacteriia, Flavobacteriales, Flavobacteriaceae.
UUUUAGCCCAGAUAGAAGUGGAAAUCCUUUUCCUUUUUUCUUUAAAAAGGAAAAGAUUGCAACGAAUAGCUGGAUACGAG